CAUUCAGGAGGCAGAUUUCUUUCAUAAUUUAAGCACCUGGAAGACGCAGAUUACAAACUAAACAUGCCGAUUCCAAAGAGGAGAGGUGUUAAGGGCAUCUACAAUUAUUUAGUUUAUGGUCAGAAACUCAAUCAACGAUCAAUAGAGAAUUUGAAGAUUUUUAGACUCACAGUGUUAACGUUUGUAUUUGCAAUUGGGUUCAACAAAUUCACACAAAGGAAUUUAGGUCCUCCGAAGGUGUCGAAGUUGGAGCUGGAGGACACUGAAAUAUCCAAAACAGUUGAAACACAACAACGAUAGCAUUAUUUUAUCUAAAGAUAUGGUGUGGAUGAAGCUAGGUUCAGAAUGUGGCAGAAAAAGGAUCUACUCACCAAUCAAGAAGACUUCCAGCUUUGGGAAAUUGAACAAUUCAUGGUUUCUUAUUAAGGAUGAAUGGGAUACCUGAAGUUUGGUGCUGGUAUUAUUUGCACACCUGUGAACUUUAUAGUAUGAUCCUGAGUUGAUAUCCAAUUGUUUCCAAUAGGUUUGGAUAAAAGUACAGAUCAGUAAAAAAAAGUGUAUACACCUGAUUAAAACAAUAGAACUCAACACAACAUAUUUAUAUUGUUAAUGGUAAAGUGAACGAAGAAAACAAUGCUGGUAAUGCUGUACAUCCAUCAACAAUGUAUCUUGAAAAAAAAAUGAUAAAACAAAUUUUGAAUGGAACAAUUAACAUUUAUUGCUUUAGAGUUGCAGUUUUAGAUUUGAAAUGAAAUAAGCAGGUAAAUAUUUCAGUACAUCAUAUUGUAUUUAUUUCAAUAGCUUGAUUUUAAAACUGGAAAUUUUGAUUAAGUGUAGUAGUGGUGAUGUGAGUGUAUUGAAUGCAGAUGAAUUCAUUUAUAUAAUUGUAUUUAAAAAAGAAUUGUACAUAAUAAAAUGUGAUUUGAUGGA
Molecule: long non-coding RNA, 930 nt
Organism: Pecten maximus
Lineage: Eukaryota; Metazoa; Mollusca; Bivalvia; Pectinida; Pectinidae
Exons: 2
Source: RefSeq, a predicted model, not a curated record